Molecule: ribosomal RNA, 550 nt
Filed under: uncultured bacterium
Lineage: Bacteria
Description: bacterial SSU rRNA
Rfam family: Bacterial small subunit ribosomal RNA
Source: RNAcentral
UAGGGAAUCUUCGGCAAUGGACGGAAGUCUGACCGAGCAACGCCGCGUGAGUGAAGAAGGUUUUCGGAUCGUAAAGCUCUGUUGUAAGAGAAGAACGAGUGUGAGAGUGGAAAGUUCACACUGUGACGGUAUCUUACCAGAAAGGGACGGCUAACUACGUGCCAGCAGCCGCGGUAAUACGUAGGUCCCGAGCGUUGUCCGGAUUUAUUGGGCGUAAAGCGAGCGCAGGCGGUUAGAUAAGUCUGAAGUUAAAGGCUGUGGCUUAACCAUAGUAGGCUUUGGAAACUGUUUAACUUGAGUGCAAGAGGGGAGAGUGGAAUUCCAUGUGUAGCGGUGAAAUGCAUAGAUAUAUGGAGGAACACCGGUGGCGAAAGCGGCUCUCUGGCUUGUAACUGACGCUGAGGCUCGAAAGCGUGGGGAGCAAACAGGAUUAGAUACCCUGGUAGUCCACGCUGUAAACGAUGAGUGCUAGGUGUUAGACCCUUUCCGGGGUUUAGUGCCGUAGCUAACGCAUUAAGCACUCCGCCUGGGGAGUACGACCGCAAGGUUG